UGAACGCUGGCGGCGUGCCUAACACAUGCAAGUCGAACGAGAAAGCUAUCUUCGGAAAGCGAGUACAGUGGCGAACGGGUGAGUAACACGUUGGUGACCUGCCCCGAGGUGGGGGACAACUGUGGGAAACCACAGCUAAUACCCCAGAUGUUGAGGAGUCUAGACGUCCUUAACUAAAGUUCCGACGCCUCGGGAGGGGCCUGCGGGCUAUCAGCUUGUUGGUGAGGUAAUGGCUCACCAAGGCUAAGACGGCUAGGGGGCGUGAGAGCGCGAUCCCCCACAAUGGGACUGAGACACGGCCCAUACUCCUACGGGAGGCAGCAGUGAGGAAUAUUGCACAAUGGGGGCAACCCUGAUGCAGCAACGCCGCGUGAACGAUGAAGGCCUUCGGGUCGUAAAGUUCUUUUCUAAGGGACGAUAAUGACGGUACCUUAGGAAUAAGUCCCGGCUAACUAC
RNAcentral lists this ribosomal RNA (456 nucleotides) under uncultured bacterium. RNAcentral's name for it is "bacterial SSU rRNA". It matches the Rfam family "Bacterial small subunit ribosomal RNA", at positions 30 to 504 of the family's 1533-position model. The record is from RNAcentral.